RNAcentral lists this long non-coding RNA (864 nucleotides) under Cyanistes caeruleus (blue tit). Its description in RNAcentral is "lncRNA (ENSCCEG00000004054.1)". The record is from RNAcentral. Lineage: Eukaryota; Metazoa; Chordata; Aves; Passeriformes; Paridae.
GCUUGGCUGCAGAGUGAGAAGUAGCUGUUGUUCACACACCUCCUAGAAACAGCUAAUGAAUCUAGAAGAGAUCACUUCAGUAAUAAUAUUAAAUUUUUCCUGUAUUCUUGUAGUAAUACUAUUUCCUUUUUCUUAAUUCAGCUAUUUGUCCAGUAUCACUAUCCCAGUCUCUAACUAUAUUAUACAAGUAAAAUUAUCUUAAUAAUGCAGAAAGUAAGUGCUUCAUUAUGUUUCCUUUUCAGGACACCCAAACCAAAACCCAGUAGAAGAAAAAAACCCUCACGUCUCCCAGGUGCCAACAGCUCCCAGUUAAACUUCCCCAGAUCAGGAGUGCUGAAAUUUAACAAGUAGUUUUUAUUGCUGCCAGGCAAAUCUUGACUUAGAAAACCAUUUCUUCAUUAAAAAGGUGCUGGUUCCUGAAUCCCAAAAGGCACCUGAGUCCUGCUGAAUAAACAGUGGUCCCUUGCUCUGCUCUGAGGCACCAGCCUGCUCCACCUGCAGCAGGAGCAGCUGAAGCUCACACAGCAUGAGAAAUGAAGUUUACAGUACAUAUUACAGCAGACUUCCAGAUGAGAGGACGAAGACUAUGAGUGAAGAGUGCCCUGGAGAUCUCCUGCAGUUCUUUUCCUGGCUCAGAACUGGAUUGAUCUGAGAAGAGUAAUUAUGAGGCUGACAUGUAUGUUCUCCUUCAUCUUGCUGUUUGGAGCAGUUGGGCUCGUUGUUUUCAUUCACCUGCAGGAUCCAGAAGAAAUAGUUCAUCAGCAGACACCAGGUUUGUGUGUCUUCAUUGGCAGAAAAACUGGCCUGGUCAGGCUGAAGCUUUUCUAGCAGUUUGAACAUUUUUUAAGAUAUUUUGUCAUGCAA